GUAGGUGGCAAGCGUUGUCCGGAAUUAUUGGGCGUAAAGCGCGCGCAGGCGGUUCUUUAAGUCUGAUGUGAAAGCCCACGGCUCAACCGUGGAGGGUCAUUGGAAACUGGAGAACUUGUGUACAGAAGAGGAAAGCGGAAUUCCACGUGUAGCGGUGAAAUGCGUAGAGAUGUGGAGGAACACCAGUGGCGAAGGCGGCUUUCUGGUCUGUAACUGACGCUGAGGCGCGAAAGCGUGGGGAGCAAACAGGGAUUAGAUACCCUGGUAGUCCACGCCGUAAACGAUGAGUGCUAAGUGUUAGGGGGGUUUCCGCCCCCUUAGUGCUGCAGCUAACGCAUUAAGCACUCCGCCUGGGGAUACGGCCGCAAGGCUG
This 373-nucleotide ribosomal RNA is filed under the name uncultured organism. RNAcentral's name for it is "partial 16S ribosomal RNA". It matches the Rfam family "Bacterial small subunit ribosomal RNA", at positions 527 to 896 of the family's 1533-position model. The record is from RNAcentral.